UAGUGGAGUUAGUCACUCCUGCCGGUUCCUCUGUUCCUGGCAAAGAGAGAGUUCCCUUGACCAACACCUGGAUUUAAACAUUUCACUAAUGGCAAAAUAACUCAUUCUCAGCCUUCGUUGCCCCCAGGGUUUGUGAAGGCUCCAGGCUGAGCCACACAUGGAGGACACCCACCCUGGAGCCUUCCAAAUCUGCAAUGAACUUCGUUGACAGCUUGCCAGCCUCCUCAUCCUCAUCCUCAGUUCCAAUCAGCCCUUUCUAGAGUCUCUAUCCAGCUUCUUUAUGGAUUCCAAAGGCAGAGGAAGCCAAGUCCUGGAGAUUCAAGUAAAGUAUGACAUGAGCUCAGUAGAAUUUUAUUCCUAUUAAUAAAAGACACUGCAUCACAAGAGUAGAGUGGGGAGAGGAGACACGCUUCUAUUCUGCAUGUGUCAAAACAGGAUUUAGAGUCCUUUAACGCAGUGAGAAAGGACCAAGUGCUCUGUCAAGCAGUUUUUCAGGAACUGAAAAUCAACUCCUCGUCCAGUUCAGGCCAGUUAAGACCACUAACUCAUCAACCAGGCCUGCUCAGAUGACCAAUAGGUGAUCCUUUGACAUCAAGGAGCUGAAAACUCCACCCUCAGAUCAUGGUAAUGCUGCCAUUUUGUGAACAUGCAUCCUAUGAAGAGCUAUGAAGCUUGACUAUGCUUGCGCAGAUCAUCAAUUACCUCACUUCUCCUUACCUCCAACCAUCUAUUCCCACACUUCAGACUACCCUGCCACCUUAUCCCAUAAAUACCCCUAAUUCCCAUUUUUCAGAGAGGUGGAUUUGAGAUUCCUUCUCCUAUCUCCUCACUUGGCUGCUUUAUGAAUAAAAACUCUUUCUC
Long non-coding RNA from Diceros bicornis minor, 861 nucleotides. RefSeq lists it as uncharacterized. NCBI's taxonomy places the organism in Eukaryota, Metazoa, Chordata, Mammalia, Perissodactyla, Rhinocerotidae. The record is from RefSeq and is a predicted model, not a curated record. The transcript has 5 exons.